RNAcentral lists this ribosomal RNA (498 nucleotides) under uncultured bacterium. RNAcentral describes it as "partial 16S ribosomal RNA". It matches the Rfam family "Bacterial small subunit ribosomal RNA", at positions 28 to 523 of the family's 1533-position model. The record is from RNAcentral.
GACGAACGCUGGCGGCGUGCCUAACACAUGCAAGUCGAGCGGAGAUGAUGUGAGGAAGUUUUCGGAUGGAAUCACAUUAUUUUAGCGGCGGACGGGUGAGUAACGCGUGAGCGACCAACCUUGCACAGGGGGAUAACGGACCGAAAGGUUCACUAAUACCGCAUGAGACCACGGUGUUGCAUGACAAAGGGGUCAAAGGAGGAAUCCGGUGCAAGACGGGCUCGCGUCCGAUUAGGUAGUUGGAGGGGUAAGGGCCCACCAAGCCUAUGAUCGGUAGCCGACCUUAGAGGGUGAUCGGCCACAUUGGAACUGGGAUACGGUCCAAACUCCUACGGGGGGCAUCAGUGGGUAAUAUUGGGCAAUGGGGGAAACCCUGACCCAGCAACGCCGCGUGAAGGAAGAAGGUUUUCGGAUUGUAAACUUCUGUCCUUGGUGAAGAGAAGAAGACGGUAGCCAAGGAGGAAGCCCCGGCUAACUACGUGCCAGCCGCCGCAGUAA